GCUGGGUGUGGUGGUGCACACCUGUAAUCCCAGCUACUCAGGAGGCUGAGGCAGGAGAAUGGCUUGAACCCAGGAGGUGGAGGUUGCAGUGAGCCGAGAUCACACCACUGCACUCCAGCCUGGGUGACAGAGCAAGACUCUGUCUACA
RNAcentral lists this non-coding RNA (148 nucleotides) under Chlorocebus sabaeus (green monkey). Lineage: Eukaryota; Metazoa; Chordata; Mammalia; Primates; Cercopithecidae. The record is from Rfam by way of RNAcentral.